Molecule: ribosomal RNA, 463 nt
Filed under: Vreelandella stevensii
Lineage: Bacteria; Pseudomonadati; Pseudomonadota; Gammaproteobacteria; Oceanospirillales; Halomonadaceae
Description: partial 16S ribosomal RNA
Rfam family: Bacterial small subunit ribosomal RNA
Source: RNAcentral
CUACGGGUGGCAGCAGUGGGGAAUAUUGGACAAUGGGCGAAAGCCUGAUCCAGCCAUGCCGCGUGUGUGAAGAAGGCCUUCGGGUUGUAAAGCACUUUCAGUGGGGAAGAAAGCCUUGGGGCUAAUACCCUCGAGGAAGGACAUCACCCACAGAAGAAGCACCGGCUAACUCCGUGCCAGCAGCCGCGGUAAUACGGAGGGUGCGAGCGUUAAUCGGAAUUACUGGGCGUAAGCGUGCGUAGGCGGUCUGAUAAGCCGGUUGUGAAAGCCCCGGGCUCAACCUGGGAACGGCAUCCGGAACUGUCAGGCUAGAGUGCAGGAGAGGAAGGUAGAAUUCCCGGUGUAGCGGUGAAAUGCGUAGAGAUCGGGAGGAAUACCAGUGGCGAAGGCGGCCUUCUGGACUGACACUGACGCUGAGGUGCGAAAGCGUGGGUAGCAAACAGGAUUAGAUACCCGGGUAGUC